Molecule: ribosomal RNA, 468 nt
Filed under: uncultured bacterium
Lineage: Bacteria
Description: partial 16S ribosomal RNA
Rfam family: Bacterial small subunit ribosomal RNA
Source: RNAcentral
GAUGAACGCUGACAGAAUGCUUAACACAUGCAAGUCAACUUGAAUUUGGGUUUUUUAACUUAGAUUUGGGUGGCGGACGGGUGAGUAACGCGUAAAGAACUUGCCUCACAGCUAGGGACAACAUUUGGAAACGAAUGCUAAUACCUGAUAUUAUGAUUAUAAGGCAUCUUAGACUUAUGAAAGCUAUAUGCGCUGUGAGAGAGCUUUGCGUCCCAUUAGCUAGUUGGAGAGGUAACGGCUCACCAAGGCGAUGAUGGGUAGCCGGCCUGAGAGGGUGAACGGCCACAAGGGGACUGAGACACGGCCCUUACUCCUACGGGAGGCAGCAGUGGGGAAUAUUGGACAAUGGACCAAGAGUCUGAUCCAGCAAUUCUGUGUGCACGAUGACGUUUUUCGGAAUGUAAAGUGCUUUCAGUUGGGAAGAAAAAAAUGACGGUACCAACAGAAGAAGAGACGGCUAAAUACGUG